Molecule: long non-coding RNA, 1392 nt
Organism: Oncorhynchus tshawytscha (Chinook salmon)
Lineage: Eukaryota; Metazoa; Chordata; Actinopteri; Salmoniformes; Salmonidae
Source: Ensembl
CGAAACUAUGAUGUGGGGGAUCGGGAGUUGCUGGCUGGGGUCAAAGCUCUGAAAGUGUGGAGACAUUGGCUUGAGGGGGUGAAACUCUCUUUUCUCAUCUGGACUGACCACCGUAACCGGGAGUACAUCCGGGCGGCGAGGAGACUUAAUCCUCGUCAGGCAAGAUACCGAGGAGCGGCCCAAUGAUCCCACACCCAGACUUCCAGCCUCUUGUCUGGUGGCACCGGUGGGGUGGGAGGUGGACGCGGACAUCGAGCGGGCGUCUCGGUUAGAACCUCCUCCACCUCAGUGUCCAGCGGGUCGGAGUGCCAUCUUUCUAUCAAUAAUCAGAAGUGGGCUGGGCAUGUGAGCCCAUGUCUGGAUGCGUGUGUGUCUUUGGCCUCUGGAGUGGUUCCCUGUUGCAACUUCACUGGGCUACAUGGACAAGGUCAGUCCGGUAAUGGUCCUAUAAGGCCUGUCACUAGAGCUAUCCGUUACUUUUCCUACUGCCAUGAAUCAUGGAGCCUGUUCUGUCUUUAUCUUUAGUAUUUUGCUUCCUUUGUUUUGUUCUGUUGGUGAUUAUAGUUAAAACUGUGUGUGCUUUAGUAGUAGGCUUUACACUGUUUUUGAAAAUAUUGUUUGUGAGAGGGCCGCGUUUUGUGUCGCACAAAUUAGGUGCUAAAAGUAUAAAUACCAAAACCAUGUUGUGUGUACAUGAAGUUGUGCAAUCAGGGUUUGGAAGUGGAGGUCGAGGUAAUUACACACCAGUGUUCCAUUAGCUAUCAGAUUUUCCACAGCAGGUAUAGGAAGUAGUGUCAUUUCCUCCUCCCUCCAUGCAUGCAUAACUGAUUGUAAUGGGGAAAAUUGCCCAAAAUGAGGUUGUGUUUAGAUUAAACUAUCAAAUUGUCAAUUACCUGUAUUUGUUAAUGGGUCAGCUCACGUAUUCUUUCCCAAGAUUAGACUUAUACAUGAUUAUAUAUAGUGUUUACAUGGUUGAAAAACUAAGUGAUUAGGAAUGCACGAUAGAGAUAUGACCUAAUUACUUGUUAUGGGAGAGAAACUUCAUGAGGGGAGUAGCUGUGUUUUACCUGAUAGAUUUUCCAGACUCUCACAGGUUGAUGGGGGUUUCUCCCUCUGCCUGAGAGUCAAAAGGAGAAAGCCUCCGACAAGAUGGUUAGGGAAUCUUUCUCCAGCAGAAUAUAAAGGUCAUCAUGUGAAAACCAUUCUAUGACUUUCAGAAAAAAAUAUCACCCAUCUGAUUGGUUUGUCUGUUUUUCAAAAGCUCUUUGAGCCGAUCAGUCCUGUCUUUAUAGCGUAAUUCUGUGUUAUGUAAUUUCAACAGUUCUCAAACAAAUAUCAGUGUGGGAUUUCAGUGGGUUAUUGAAUGAUGUCCACAGCUAUGUUAAAAUGUCA